Molecule: small RNA, 5310 nt
Filed under: Pongo abelii (Sumatran orangutan)
Lineage: Eukaryota; Metazoa; Chordata; Mammalia; Primates; Hominidae
Description: retained intron
Source: RNAcentral
GAUCACUUAUGACCAGGAUUUCAAGGCUGCAGUGAGCUGUGAUUGCAUCACUGCACUCCAGCCUGGUGACAGAGCGAGGCCCUGUCUCAAAAAAAUUUUUCAGUGUUUUUCUGGGCUGGACGUGGUGGCUCAUUCCUGUAAUUCCAGCGCUUUGGGAGGCUGAGGUGGGUGGAUUGCUUGAGCCCAGGAGUUUAAGACCAGCUGGGCAACAUGGCAAACCUCAUCUCUACAAAAAAUAAAAUAAAAAAUUAGCCGGGCAUAGUGGUGCACACCUGUACUAACAGCUACGGGAGAGGCUGAGGUGGGAGGAUCACCUGAGCCCGGGAGGUUGAGGCUGCAGUGAGCCGUGAUUGCACUACUGCACUCUAGUCUGGGCGAUACAGCAAGACCCUGUCUCAAAAAAAAAAAAGUCACCCAGUGGGGUCAGCAGAGCCCCAAGAGUCUUCUUCCCUCCCAGCUCCCCUGUACACCAGCCCCAGCUCUGCAGGUAGCCGGGGGCCCAGACAACUUCCUGGGGACCCCCAGCCUUCCCUCUGCCCCUUUUUCUACCAGUUUUGCUGCCCCUCCUUCAAGAUUCAUGUCCAGAGGGGGUGAGAUCUGCACUUAUACAGCCCCCUCCUCUGUAAUGAGGGAGCCAAGUCAGCCCAGGUUAUUCCAGAAGGGGCACCCUACCAGCCCCCCAGUCCCCAAGCUGCCCUGGGCCUGUAAAAGCAGGCAAAGGGACCCCUAGUAGAUCAUGUAGGUGUUACCUCUUAGUGGGUGCUGGAGGGGCCUGAAGUGCUUUCUUCCCCCAGGGUGGUAAGAGAAUGUCCUGGCAGUGACCUCAGGGCCCGCUGUCACUUCCGUUUUAAGAUACACCAGCUGGUAGGCUCAUUAGGAAGAGGACAAUAGGAGGCCCCUGUCCUCAGUCAGCUUUCUUCAAAGGUGUUUCCUUUAGCAACUGGGAGGCCUCCCUUCUCCAGAGCCAUGGGGACACCACCACCCAGCUCCUGGUUCCAUAGUCGAGGCUGCUGUAUGGCUCUGGCUAGCCCAUUCAGAGAGAGCCUCUCAAAGUACAAGGAAAAAAAUCAGUCCAAGAGCUGUGAACAAUUAGUGAGCCGAUUACAAUACCAAGACCACAGGCAGACCCGGAAGGCUAAGUGAGCCCAGGUGUAAAGUUCAAGCUUACUUUACUUCUGGGGCCACUUCCUGGCUGGUCUCUUUCCCUGGCCCUUAUCUUUCUCCUGGUCUGUCUUUUCUUCUCACCCCCUUUCUUUACUCUUUCCUCCUUCUCUCGCAUCGUACUCCACCCCCACUCCAGCUAUUAGACAGAAUCGCAAGAAUGUUAGGUUAUUCAUUUUAUUUAUUAUGUUUUCUUUUUUGUAAAAAUAGAGACAAGGUCUCACUAUGUGGCCCAGGCUGGUCUUGAACUCCUGGCCUCAAGCAAUCCUCGUGCCUUGGCCUCUUACAGUGCUGGGAUUACAGAUGUGAGCCACCAUGCCUGGCCCAUUUUAUUUACCUUAAAAAAAAUUAGGCUGGGCGCGGUGGCUCACACCUGUAAUUCCAGCACUUUGGGAGGCCAAGGUGGGCAGAUCACCUGAGGUCAGGAGUUUGAGACCAGCUACUCCGGAGGCUGAGACAGGAGAAUCGCUUGAAUCCAGGAGGUAGAGGUUGCAAUGAACUGAGAUGUGCCAUUGCAUGCCAGCCUGGGCAACAGAGCAAGACUGUCUCAAAAAAAAAAAAAAAAAAUUAUGUUUUCUGCUCCUGCUUCCUGCUUUGUAAGUCCAAUCAGUUUAACUGUUCAAGUGUCUUCCUUGCAAACCCCCAAGGACUCAAUGUGUGUGGCCUUUGACUGAUCCCCCCACCUCGUGCCCAGUGGUCCUCAGUUCCAGGUUUUCCCAUCUACCCUUCACCCACUGCUUAUGUUUAUAAAAACGGGGUAAAUCAAAUGUUUGUGACCCAGAUCUUAUUCUACAUGCAGUGGAAACAUGUAUGACUUCAGCUUUUUGGAAAAGCAGAACCUUUUUUCGUGGUUCAAGAAAUCAGAGUCUUCCCGAGAGGUCUUUCUGUAAAUCCAGAGCUGUAGAUGUUUCACUGUGUUCAGAGAGGGGCCCUUGUGCUGGGUGAAGUGGAUGGGGCACAGCAGGCAAUGGGUGAAAAGCAGGACAACCUGGGGCCCUGGGAGGACCAGGGAGGGCCCAUGGGCAAGGCGGUCCCAUGUCUUUGACUUGGUCCCAUGUCUUUGACUGUUCAUCAGCCGGCUGACUUUCUGUCCACCUGUUGUCUGCUCUGCCCAUCCAUCCAUAGUCCUUCCGCCCAUCUCUGCUGGUUGCUGCUGUGCUACUCAGCUGUGUCUGUCUGUCCACCUGACUGUCUGCUCUCUUUCAGGAUGCCUUCCGUGCCUUCCAUCAAGAUCUCAAUUUUGUGCGCAAGUUCCUACAGCCCCUGUUGAUUGGAGAGCUGGCUCCGGAAGAACCCAGCCAGGAUGGACCCCUGAAUGCGCAGCUGGUCGAGGACUUCCGAGCCCUGUACCAGGCAGCCGAGGACAUGAAGCUGUUUGAUGCCAGUCCCACCUUCUUUGCUUUCCUACUGGGCCACAUCCUGGCCAUGGAGGUGCUGGCCUGGCUCCUCAUCUACCUCCUGGGUCCUGGCUGGGUGCCCAGUGCCCUGGCUGCCUUCAUCCUGGCCAUCUCUCAGGCUCAGUCCUGGUGUCUGCAGCAUGACCUGGGCCAUGCCUCCAUCUUCAAGAAGUCCCGGUGGAACCACGUGGCCCAGAAGUUCGUGAUGGGGCAGCUAAAGGGCUUCUCCGCCCACUGGUGGAACUUCCGCCACUUCCAGCACCACGCCAAGCCCAACAUCUUCCACAAAGACCCAGACGUGACGGUGGCGCCCGUCUUCCUCCUGGGGGAGUCAUCCGUCGAGUAUGGCAAGAAGAAACGCAGAUACCUACCCUACAACCAGCAGCACCUGUACUUCUUCCUGAGUGAGUGUCCAUCUGCCCUUCUGGGGUGGGGGAGCGCCUGGGCCUGCACUGUCCUCCCUGCUGUCCUGGACCACUCCCAGGCACUUCCUGGGGCAGGGGCACGCCUGUCAAAUCUCCCUUAUCAUGGCACCCUCCCAGCCUCUGCAGUCUGUACACACUCUCCCAGCACCAUGCCUUUGCCCCAGCUGUCUCCUGUGCCUGGGACACCUUGCAGCCAUGGGCCAUCACAGCCCUGCUGGGAGCUUCCCCAAGCCCCAUGUAGAAUUUCUUCUUGCCCUCACUAGAGUGGUCUGGAGCCCUAGAGUCUUUGGGCAGUUGUUGGGGUGGACAGAGCGAGGACUCAAGGCUGGCCCUGACCUGCGGUGAAGGGUGGUGGGAGGUGGUGGGGUAAGGGCAGCCUGAGGAGGCUUGGACACAGGGUCGGGGGUGAUAUGGGGUCAUUCCAGCUGGAUGUGACCAGCACCAACGUCCCAGGGGCAUUCCUGGAGUAACAGAGCCCCUCACUCUGCUGCCCACCCACCUUGGCAGCCCAGCCCCACUCCUGAGUGCUCUCGUGCCCCUUCUUGCAGUCGGCCCACCGCUGCUCACCCUGGUGAACUUCGAAGUGGAAAAUCUGGCGUACAUGCUGGUGUGCAUGCAGUGGGCGGUGAGUGGGGUUGCCCAGGACCCCGGGCAUACGGCUGCCGUGGCAGGAGGUGGUACCUCGGGGGACAGUACCUGCCCAUGAAGGCAAACAGGGUGCACAUGUGCGUGCAACAGUGUGGCUCACAUGCGUGCGUGCAACAGCGUGGCUCACAUGUGUGCGCGCAGCAGGAGAGCGAGUGUGCCCGUGACUGUACGUGUGGGGUGGGGGGGUUGAGGAACGGGGGGUGUGUGGGUCUCUCUUGGUGAGGGUGUCUUCCCAGGAGGAGUUGCUGGGCUGACUCUGCCAGGCAUAUGUGUCUCUGGCAGGGUCUUCCCCAACACACCCUGCGUGACACCUUUGUCACUAAAAUCAGCCUCGUGAGCUGGCAGGGCAAGGACCCUAUUCCUUUACUCAACUGAGAAAACCAGAGAGGGUGGUGGCCUGUCCUGGGCUCUGAGGCAAAUCAGGCAGAAGGGUUGGAUGCCUGAGGUCCCCCUCCCACCCACCAGGCCUCCAGACCUCCGGGCACCUGGAGACCUCUCGGUAUCACCUCUGCUCUCCUCUGCAGGAUUUGCUGUGGGCCGCCAGCUUCUAUGCCCGCUUCUUCUUAUCCUACCUCCCCUUCUACGGCGUCCCUGGGGUGCUGCUCUUCUUUGUUGCUGUCAGGUAUGGCAGGGAGUGGCGAGGUCACACACAGACGACAGGUGACCCCACCGCACCCCCCCCCCCACCAGAGCGUCCCUUUCCCCGUCUGCAGAGUGGGGCCAGUGGUACUGCCUCCCUGGCUUGCUGGCAGAAUCACAUAAACACAAGCGUGACAGGAGCCCAGGGUCGGUGGGUUUAGGGAGCAUGGCCUGGCUUGUAAGUGGCCCCGUGGGUGUCGGAGCUGCUCUGGGCUCAGCCUCACAGUGGACACUGCUCCAUUCAGAUUCUUUAAGCACUGGCAAGGGGGCGAUGACCACAAUCCUAUUGUACAGAUAAGGAAGUCAAGGCCACUUGGGGACAGCUGCUCUCCAGCCUCCACUCAGGGUGCCUAAGUGGUGAGCUGGACCUAGGGCAGUGCCCGAGCCUCCCCACAGGGUCCUGGAAAGCCACUGGUUCGUGUGGAUCACACAGAUGAACCACAUCCCCAAGGAGAUCGGCCAUGAGAAGCACCGGGACUGGGUCAGCUCUCAGCUGGCAGCCACCUGCAACGUGGAACCUUCGCUUUUCACCAACUGGUUCAGCGGGCACCUCAACUUCCAGAUCGAGCACCACCUCUUCCCCAGGAUGCCGAGACACAACUACAGCCGGGUGGCCCCACUGGUCAAGUCGCUGUGUGCCAAGCACGGCCUCAGCUACGAAGUGAAGCCCUUCCUCACCGCGCUGGUGGACAUUGUCAGGUCCCUGAAGAAGUCUGGUGACAUCUGGCUGGACGCCUACCUCCAUCAGUGAAGGCAACACCCAGGCGGGCAGAGAAGGGCUCAGGGCACCAGCAACCAAGCCAGUCCCCGGCGGGAUCGAUACCCCCACCCCUCCAUUGGCCAGCCUGGGGGUGCCCUGCCUGCCCUCCUGGUACUGUUGUCUUCCCCUCAGCCCCUCGCAUGUGUAUUCAGCAGCCCUCCGGCCUUGGCUCUGGGCCUGAUGGGACAGGGGUAGAGGGAAGGUGAGCGUAGCACAUUUUCCUAGAGCAAGAAUUGGGGGAAAGCUGUUAUUUUUAUAUUAAAAUACAUUCAGAUGUAUU